This 654-nucleotide ribosomal RNA is filed under the name uncultured bacterium. RNAcentral's name for it is "bacterial SSU rRNA". The stretch from base 1 to 543 matches the Rfam family "Bacterial small subunit ribosomal RNA", at positions 338 to 873 of the family's 1533-position model. The record is from RNAcentral.
CCUACGGGAGGCAGCAGUGGGGAAUAUUGGACAAUGGGCGAAAGCCUGAUCCAGCAAUGCCGCGUGAGUGAUGAAGGCCUUAGGGUUGUAAAGCUCCUUUACCAGGGAUGAUAAUGACAGUACCUGGAGAAUAAGCUCCGGCUAACUCCGUGCCAGCAGCCGCGGUAAUACGGAGGGAGCUAGCGUUGUUCGGAAUUACUGGGCGUAAAGCGUACGUAGGCGGUUAUUCAAGUCAGAGGUGAAAGCCUGGAGCUCAACUCCAGAACUGCCUUUGAAACUAGAUAGCUAGAAUCUUGGAGAGGUGAGUGGAAUUCCGAGUGUAGAGGUGAAAUUCGUAGAUAUUCGGAAGAACACCAGUGGCGAAGGCGACUCACUGGACAAGUAUUGACGCUGAGGUACGAAAGCGUGGGGAGCAAACAGGAUUAGAUACCCUGGUAGUCCACGCCGUAAACGAUAGAUAACUAGACUGUUCGGGUCGUCUACGACGACGUGUAGUAGGCGGCGACGACGUAACCGUACCGAAUUAAAGUUUAAGUUACCGUCCGUCGGGGUAGGGUAACGGGUUACGGUACGAACGAAGUUAAAACUUAACUAAACGGAAAAGUUAAGUACGGACGUGAGACGUAGCCGAACGGACGACGACGAGGGAGGAGG